AGUGAACGCUGGCGGUAGGCCUAACACAUGCAAGUCGAACGGCAGCACAGUAAGAGCUUGCUCUUACGGGUGGCGAGUGGCGGACGGGUGAGGAAUACAUCGGAAUCUACUUUUUCGUGGGGGAUAACGUAGGGAAACUUACGCUAAUACCGCAUACGACCUACGGGUGAAAGCAGGGGAUCUUCGGACCUUGCGCGAUUGAAUGAGCCGAUGUCGGAUUAGCUAGUUGGCGGGGUAAAGGCCCUCCAAGGCGACGAUCCGUAGCUGGUCUGAGAGGAUGAUCCGCCACACUGGAACUGAGACACGGUCCAGACUCCUACGGGAGGCAGCAGUGGGGAAUAUUGGACAAUGGGCGCAAGCCUGAUCCAGCCAUACCGCGUGGGUGAAGAAGGCCUUCGGGUUGUAAAGCCCUUUUGUUGGGAAAGAAAAGCAGCAGGUUAAUACCCCGCUGUUCUGACGGUACCCAAAGAAUAAGCACCGGCUAACUUCGUG
Molecule: ribosomal RNA, 492 nt
Filed under: uncultured bacterium
Lineage: Bacteria
Description: partial 16S ribosomal RNA
Rfam family: Bacterial small subunit ribosomal RNA
Source: RNAcentral